RNAcentral lists this ribosomal RNA (356 nucleotides) under uncultured organism. RNAcentral's name for it is "bacterial LSU rRNA". It matches the Rfam family "Bacterial large subunit ribosomal RNA", at positions 2126 to 2486 of the family's 2925-position model. The record is from RNAcentral.
UGAUUCAUUUGCGCAGUAUAAGUGGGAGACGUUGAUUGAUUGCUUGUGGGUGCUCGGAGUCUCAGGGAGAUCCACUCUUGCAUGUUAGAUUUCUAACUUUGUAUCGUAUCCGGUCAAAGAAACAUUUCAGGCGGGCAGUUUGACUGGGGCGGUCGCCUCCUAAACGGUAACGGAGGCGCACAAAGGUUUCCUCUGAACGUGUAGAAAUCGUAUCUAGAGUGUAAAGGCAUAAGGAAGCUUGACUGUGAGACCUACAAGUCGAGCAGGGACGAAAGUCGGUCUUAGUGAUCUGACGGUGCUGAGUGGAAAGGCCGUCACUCAACGGAUAAAAGUUACUCUAGGGAAACCAGGCUGAA